AAAGUCGUAACAAGGUUUCCGUAGGUGAACCUGCGGAAGGAUCAUUAUUGUAACUGGCGGAGCGCGAUUAGGCCCUGCUCGAGGAGACUCUGAGCGGGCCUUGUCGGUGCCCUUCGCUUUGUCCUUCACACACCCUGUGCACCUUUCUUCGCGGAGGGUUAGCGGUGGAUAACGCUGCGAGCCCCCGUGGAUACAAACUCUAAUCGUGACCCUGUAUGUCGUUUCUAAUCGAAACAUUUUGUAACAACUUUCAACAACGGAUCUCUUGGCUCUC
Molecule: unclassified non-coding RNA, 274 nt
Filed under: Basidiomycota sp.
Lineage: Eukaryota; Fungi; Basidiomycota
Description: partial contains small subunit ribosomal RNA, internal transcribed spacer 1, and 5.8S ribosomal RNA
Rfam family: Eukaryotic small subunit ribosomal RNA (bases 1-47)
Source: RNAcentral